This 255-nucleotide long non-coding RNA is filed under the name Lathyrus oleraceus (garden pea). RNAcentral describes it as "Pisum sativum (pea) long non-coding RNA (PSAT_LNC013127)". The record is from RNAcentral. Lineage: Eukaryota; Viridiplantae; Streptophyta; Magnoliopsida; Fabales; Fabaceae.
AAAAAAGAACAUAAGAGAUGCGAGAUUGAGAAGAAAGGUGCGAUAAAAAUAUAAUUAAAAGAGAAAAUAGUAACAUAAAAGAUGAAAAAGAAAGAACAUAAGAGAUGACUUAUUAGAGUAGAAUAAACGAAACCUACAUGGAAAAGAAGACGAGCAGAAUGUGUGAUACUACUAUGAGAGAUUUAAGAAGGUUGAAAUUGAAACCCUAAGCGUGAGUAAGAGAAAAUCAUUUGUAAUUGUAAGGUUAAGGCAUAC